Molecule: long non-coding RNA, 589 nt
Organism: Drosophila sechellia
Lineage: Eukaryota; Metazoa; Arthropoda; Insecta; Diptera; Drosophilidae
Exons: 3
Source: RefSeq, a predicted model, not a curated record
AAUAUACCAACCGGCUCGGAAAUCAUACCAAACUACAUAUGAGGUGGCAUACUUUUAGGCACUGUUGGACAUUUUAAUAAAUACUUAAAUAUUUAUGAUUUAUGAUGUUAUGAUUUAUAAAACAAAACAAAAAUCAUUAAGAACAUAAAAAUCUUGUUUUGUCUUUGCAUGGCGCCAUCUGGUAAAGGCAACUCAAAACAUAUAACUGACAAUACAGAUACAUCGAUAUAUCGAGGAGGGAAAUUCAAAAAAGUAGGAAUAAACAACAUUUUCCUUAAAUGGAUUUGUGGAAUAUAUUUUUGGAACAUAUUUUAGUGGCUUGCAGAAUCAGCACAAGUGUCUUCGCAAAUUUCGUCUGCGGCUUAUAUUCCUGCUGGAAGCUAUUCUGUGGCGACCAUGACAGGGCUGUCGGUCUGCGGGCAGGACUUGGCACGCCCACUCAAGGAGGUGAGUGCAUGCAGUGUCCUUGCACUUGACAACAGGACUGAAGCAGCCUCAAAAACGAAAUAGUGAAAUAGGGGAAAUAAAGUCGCACACAGAAAACGUAAACGCAAAGCUUGCUGACAUCUCGUGCCUGCCUUCGCUUAAU